Molecule: long non-coding RNA, 459 nt
Filed under: Pongo abelii (Sumatran orangutan)
Lineage: Eukaryota; Metazoa; Chordata; Mammalia; Primates; Hominidae
Description: lincRNA
Source: RNAcentral
GAGCAAGUACCAUUUUAUGAAUAAAGCACCAUUGAAGUCAUUGGUAUUCCUUGAAGACAAAAAAGUGUCAGUAAAACCCAGUCAGAAUUACCGUCUUCUGAACUCCAUGCGAGAAAACUUCAUUACUCCCAGAUACUGUUGGAUCUUCCACCAGAUUUACUCUGUGGCCCUCUGAGACUCCAUGUAACAGCAACUGCAUUUUAAUGCAAUGGCAGCUAUGGAAAACACAAAACUAUCAGUCAUUGUCAAAUACUCCAUAAAUGGAGACAGAGAAGGGGUUCAGCUCUCUGUGUAACAAGGACAGAGGAGAAAGGCAUCUGCAGUGUCAAAUCUACAGAGACAAGUGCACCUGGAGACAAAUGACCAGACUACCAUAAAACAGAAGCUUAAUUAUGUUCACUUACAUUUUCAAAUUAUUCCCAACAAAUUACCCUGUUUUGCCAGGUAGAAGAAGCAGAG